AUUGAACGCUGGCGGCAGGCUUAACACAUGCAAGUCGAGCGGGGUGAUGGUGCUUGCACUAUCACUUAGCGGCGGACGGGUGAGUAAUGCUUAGGAAUCUGCCUAUUAGUGGGGGACAACAUCUCGAAAGGGAUGCUAAUACCGCAUACGUCCUACGGGAGAAAGCAGGGGAUCACUUGUGACCUUGCGCUAAUAGAUGAGCCUAAGUCGGAUUAGCUAGUUGGUGGGGUAAAGGCCUACCAAGGCGACGAUCUGUAGCGGGUCUGAGAGGAGGAUCCGCCAGACUGGGACUGGGACACGGCCCAGACUCCUACGGGAGGCAGCAGUGGGGAAUAUUGGACAAUGGGGGGAACCCUGAUCCAGCCAUGCCGCGUGUGUGAAGAAGGCCUUAUGGUUGUAAAGCACUUUAAGCGAGGAGGAGGCUCUUUUGGUUAAUACCCAAGAUGAGUGGACGUUACUCGCAGAAUAAGCACCGGCUAACUCUGUGCCAGCCGCCGCGGUAA
This 503-nucleotide ribosomal RNA is filed under the name uncultured bacterium. RNAcentral's name for it is "partial 16S ribosomal RNA". It matches the Rfam family "Bacterial small subunit ribosomal RNA", at positions 30 to 523 of the family's 1533-position model. The record is from RNAcentral.